UGGGGGUGCCUCUGGUCCAUUUUGGUGCCGAGAGGAACCGCCAUCUUGAAUGGAACCUGUGUGGCAUUAGGUUGUCGUGCAGGGGAUGCUCAUCAUUUACUGUGAAAAAAUCAGCGCGUUCAAAGCAGGCUUAUGCCAUUGAAUGUAUUAGCAUGGAAUAAUAAGAUAGGACCUUGGUACUAUUUUGUUGGUUUGCGCACCGAGGUAAUGAUUAAUAGGGACAGUUGGGGGUAUUCGUAUUCCAUUGUCAGAGGUGAAAUUCUUGGAUUUCUGGAAGACGAACGACUGCGAAAGCAUUUACCAAGGAUGUUUUCAUUAAUCAAGAACGAAAGUUAGGGGAUCGAAGAUGAUUAGAUACCAUCGUAGUCA
Molecule: ribosomal RNA, 369 nt
Filed under: Placoneis cattiensis
Lineage: Eukaryota; Bacillariophyta; Bacillariophyceae; Cymbellales; Cymbellaceae
Description: SSU rRNA
Rfam family: Eukaryotic small subunit ribosomal RNA
Source: RNAcentral